CCUACGGGUGGCAGCAGUCGAGAAUCAUUCACAAUGGGGGAAACCCUGAUGGUGCGACGCCGCGUGGGGGAAUGAAGGUCUUCGGAUUGUAAACCCCUGUCAUGUGGGAGCAAAUUAAAAAGAUAGUACCCCAAGAGGAAGAGACUGCUAACUCUGUGCCAGCAGCCGCGGUAAUACAGAGGUCUCAAGCGAUGUUCGGAAUCACUGGGCGUAAAGCGGGCGUAGGCUGUUUCGUAAGUCGUGUGUGAAAGGCGCGGGCUCAACCCGCGGACGGCACAUGAUACUGCGAGACUAGAGUAAUGGAGGGGGAACCGGAAUUCUCGGUGUAGCAGUGAAAUGCGUAGAUAUCGAGAGGAACACUCGUGGCGAAGGCGGGUUCCUGGACAUUAACUGACGCUGAGGCACGAAGGCCAGGGGAGCGAAAGGGAUUAGAUACCCCGGUAGUC
This 446-nucleotide ribosomal RNA is filed under the name uncultured bacterium. Its description in RNAcentral is "partial 16S ribosomal RNA". It matches the Rfam family "Bacterial small subunit ribosomal RNA", at positions 338 to 795 of the family's 1533-position model. The record is from RNAcentral.